RNAcentral lists this transfer RNA (69 nucleotides) under Marmota monax (woodchuck). It matches the Rfam family "tRNA". Rfam says of the family: Transfer RNA (tRNA) molecules are approximately 80 nucleotides in length. Lineage: Eukaryota; Metazoa; Chordata; Mammalia; Rodentia; Sciuridae. The record is from Rfam by way of RNAcentral.
GUCUGUUGCUCAGUGGUAGAGCACUCGCCUGGCAUGUGUGAGGCCCUAGGUUCGAUCCUCAGCACGACA